AAAGGAAAAUAAUCUGACGUGUUUUAUGGUCCCGUUGUAGAUAAUGGAGAAUACUGAGUCUAGAACAAACGAGGAAGAGUAUGUCAGUCAUAUCAAAAACCAAAUAUUAAAGCAUUUAUCGGGAGUAAAAUAGUGGAACGGACAGGCUUGAAGGUGAGAGACGAGAGAUGAUCAGAUAUGCAAACAACGAGCAGUGACGGGUAAAUCAAUGGUAGAAGACCAGCUAUAUACAGGUCGCAUCCGACAAAGGUAUGACUUUGAUAAAUGUGCGCAAGGAAUGAGGAUAGAAAAAAAUUGAGAACAGGGAAAUAUGGCGUGAAAUUGUGCGGAAGUUGCAAAGGUUCUGCAAAUGAGCUAAAAAAAAAAAAAACUAAAAAAGAAAAUAAAUACGUUUUUACUAUGUAAUCGUCGAAUAUUUUGUUCAAAAACGUGGACGAAAUUACCGUUGAUUUUAGAAAUAAAAAGUACCUUACCGAUAAAAUUAACUAGAGGGCGACAUUUCCAAAGGAACCUAGGGAAUAUUGGGUUAGGUGGCGGAAUAUAAUACGAAUACCUAUAAAUAUAGAGACGUUAUUAUCGCCGUCCGAAUCGAUCACGAGCGUCCGCGGACAUCGUUAUUAUAACGACCGUGGUAGCCGUACGAAAUUGCAAUAAUAAUAUUGCACAAAUAUCUUAAACUGUAUCAAUGUACGGGAUAUGCCUUAUUCUCCCGUUUCGUCUGCUCGCCUGCAACUUCGCUGAGUCACGACCACACGAUAUUGUGUAUGAUGUGAAUUUAUCAACCGGACGGUUAACGAGAUGAUAAUAAGGUAAACGCGUAUAAAUAUAAGUGGUGGAUAUCGGAGAGGAGACGAUUUGUAGACAAUCCACCUUAGGGGUUUUGUCACCACUAUAUAUCUGUUA
Molecule: non-coding RNA, 903 nt
Organism: Cinara cedri
Lineage: Eukaryota; Metazoa; Arthropoda; Insecta; Hemiptera; Aphididae
Source: the annotation of a GenBank genome assembly